AAUGAACGCUGGCGGCAGGCCCAACAUAUGCAAGUCGAACGGAUCCUUCGGGAUUAGUGGCGGACGGGUGAGUAACGCGUGGGAACAUACCCAAAGGUACGGAAUAGCCUCGGGAAACUGGGAGUAAUACCGUAUGUGCUCGAAAGAGGAAAGAUUUAUCGCCUUUGGAUUGGCCCGCGUUGGAUUAGGUAGUUGGUGGGGUAAUGGCCUACCAAGCCGACGAUCCAUAGCUGGUUUGAGAGGAUGAUCCGCCACACUGGGACUGAGACACGGCCCAGACUCCUACGGGAGGCAGCAGGGGGGAAUCUUAGACAAUGUGGGAAACCCUGAUCUAGCCAUGCCGCGUGAUCGAUGAAGGCCUUAGGGUUGUAAAGAUCUUUCAGGUGGGAAGAUAAUGACUGUACCACCAGAAGAAGCCCCGGCUAACUCCGUGCCAGCAGCCGCCGUAA
Molecule: ribosomal RNA, 449 nt
Filed under: uncultured bacterium
Lineage: Bacteria
Description: partial 16S ribosomal RNA
Rfam family: Bacterial small subunit ribosomal RNA
Source: RNAcentral